Molecule: ribosomal RNA, 427 nt
Filed under: uncultured bacterium
Lineage: Bacteria
Description: bacterial SSU rRNA
Rfam family: Bacterial small subunit ribosomal RNA
Source: RNAcentral
UGGGGAAUCUUCCGCAAUGGCCGAAAGUCUGACGGAGCGACGCCGCGUGAGUGAUGAAGGCCCUUGGGUCGUAAAGCUCUGUCAUCAGGGACGAACGGUCACGUCAGGAAAUGGGCGUGAAUUGACGGUACCUGAGAAGGAAGCCACGGCUAACUACGUGCCAGCAGCCGCGGUAAUACGUAGGUGGCGAGCGUUGUCCGGAAUUAUUGGGCGUAAAGCGCGCGCGGGUGGGAUCUUAAGUCUGUUCUGAAAGUUCGGAGCUUAACUACGUGAUGGGAUGGAAACUGGGAUUCUUGAGUAUCGGAGAGGAAAGCGGAACUCCCCGUGUAGCGGUGAAAUGCGUAGAUAUGGGGAGGAACACCAGUGGCGAAGGCGGCUUUCUGGACGAUGUCUGACACUGAGGCGCGAAAGCCAGGGGAGCGAACGG